CCCCCCCCCUCUCGGUUCCGAUCUCGGUAGCAGACGCGCCACCGUGAGCGGCGGCGGUGGUGCCAGACGACGAAGAAAGACAUAACAGAGAGAGAGAAAGAGGCAGGAGACGAGGAGAGAGAGAUACAUUAAGAAAGAGAAGGAGUGACGGCGGAGAGCCGCCGUCGUGCGGCGGCGUGGCGGUGGUCCUCUCAGUCCGACGGGUCACGUUCGUGAAAGAUUCACAUUCGGUUCCCAGUCAGACAUCACGGCUCGGUUUGACUCGGUCAAACCGAGUCAACUCAGUGUUCGGGUCAGUGGGUUGAUUCCGGUUCAGGUCAACAGUUGAACAACGGGAGACGGUUCAGAUGUAGAGAUCAGUUUGAUGUUCGAGUCAAUUCGGUUAAACCGAGUUAACUCAGUUUGGGCUGGGUCAAAUAGUCAAGGCAGUCAACAGCAGUCAACGCCCGGUCAACACGAAGAACCGGUAACAAAGUUAGAAGGAAUAUUGUAGAAUGCACGCUAGCAAGUCACGUCUUGGAAACGACAUUAUGAAGUCGUAUAUAGCUAGCUUUGCACAGGAAUAUUCAGGAAACUAACGAUCUGGCGCGGUAUGGCUUGUUUUCCGCUGCAUUAGGCCCGAGGUCAUCCAGGGUUCGAGACUUGUGACUCUUUCCUGGACAAGUCACAGUCCCUGAACCAUGUUUACUUUAAGUUUGCAUUUGUAAUGUUUAGACAAGUUAUGGUUGUUGGGUGUUAACCCGUUAAGACAAUGUUUAAUAUUUUUAUUUUCAAUGGAUGAUCUUGCAUAUUUUUA
This 796-nucleotide long non-coding RNA is filed under the name Helianthus annuus (common sunflower). RNAcentral's name for it is "hypothetical non coding rna". The record is from RNAcentral. Lineage: Eukaryota; Viridiplantae; Streptophyta; Magnoliopsida; Asterales; Asteraceae.